Molecule: ribosomal RNA, 780 nt
Filed under: Escherichia coli
Lineage: Bacteria; Pseudomonadati; Pseudomonadota; Gammaproteobacteria; Enterobacterales; Enterobacteriaceae
Description: partial 23S ribosomal RNA
Rfam family: Bacterial large subunit ribosomal RNA
Source: RNAcentral
GAGGCUUUGAAGUGUGGACGCCAGUCUGCAUGGAGCCGGCCUUGAAAUACCACCCUUUAAUGUUUGAUGUUCUAACGUUGGCCCCUGAUCGGGGUUGCGGACAGUGUCUGGUGGGUAGUUUGACUGGGGCGGUCUCCUCCUAAAGAGUAACGGAGGAGCACGAAGGUUGGCUAAUCCUGGUCGGACAUCAGGAGGUUAGUGCAAUGGCAUAAGCCAGCUUGACUGCGAGCGUGACGGCGCGAGCAGGUGCGAAAGCAGGUCAUAGUGAUCCGGUGGUUCUGAAUGGAAGGGCCAUCGCUCAACGGAUAAAAGGUACUCCGGGGAUAACAGGCUGAUACCGCCCAAGAGUUCAUAUCGACGGCGGUGUUUGGCACCUCGAUGUCGGCUCAUCACAUCCUGGGGCUGAAGUAGGUCCCAAGGGUAUGGCUGUUCGCCAUUUAAAGUGGUACGCGAGCUGGGUUUAGAACGUCGUGAGACAGUUCGGUCCCUAUCUGCCGUGGGCGCUGGAGAACUGAGGGGGGCUGCUCCUAGUACGAGAGGACCGGAGUGGACGCAUCACUGGUGUUCGGGUUGUCAUGCCAAUGGCACUGCCCGGUAGCUAAAUGCGGAAGAGAUAAGUGCUGAAAGCAUCUAAGCACGAAACUUGCCCCGAGAUGAGUUCUCCCUGAGACUUAGAGUCUCCUGAAGGAACGUUGAAGACGACGACGUUGAUAGGCCGGGUGUGUAAGCGCAGCGAUGCGUUGAGCUAACCGGUACUAAUGAACCGUGAGGCUUAACCUU